AGGUCAGGCAGAGCCUGCUGGCUGCCUCCAUGACAGAGCAAACCGCACGGAGUUGGCCGCAGGUGGCGAGGAGGUGGGGCUGAGGAAGGAGGAGGAAAACCGAAACAAGAGAGUAAUAUGAUUCAGCACAGGCCCUGCCCACACACGAGCUGCCCUGUGAGAAACAGAAACCCGGACACCGUGCAACGCAAGGCUUGAAGGCUGGAACAGCAGACGGGGCCGGGCAGGCUUUCUGCACACACGCGCGCGCGCACACGCACACACGGAGCAUGGAGAUCCCGGCGGAGGCGCACGGACGGGCCAGCGCUGAGCGUACAGCACGAGAAGCUCCCCAGUGACGCAGUAGGCUCCAUGCUGGGUGGAGAUCAAGACCUGAGCCAAGAUCAAGAGUUAGAUGCUAACAGCCACCCAGGCGCCCCUGCCCACAUUUUUAAAAAAAUUCAGAUAAGAGUUGCAUAAAAUAAAAUGAAUCAUUUUAAAGGGAACAUCUCAGUCGCAUUGAGUGUAUUCACAGUUGUGCAACCACCACCUCUACCAUUUCCAGAACAUUCCAUCGCCCCAAAAGGAAACCCCAUCCCCAUUGGCCGUCAGCCCCCCCUCCCCAGCCCCCACGAGCCCCCUUCCCAUCUGUGGACAGGCCUGUUCUGGACGUGUCACACACGUGGACUCACACAUCGUGGGGCCUUCUGUGUCUGGUUCCCUCCCGGAGCGUCGUGGGCUCGGGGUCAGCCCCCGGGGCAGCGUGUGUGGGCGCCUUCCUGUUCCUGGCUGAGUGACCUGCCCGUGUGUGGCAACACCUUCACUGUCUCCACCUUCUGGCUCCUGUGAAUCGUGCUGCUGGGAACACACGUGUGUGCAUCCUUAUUUGACCAUCUCUGCAGCUCUUCUGGGGACCUUCUUAGGACUGGAGCUUCAGGGCCAGCGGGCUCCCUCUGCAGCUCUGCUGUCCCUCCACGGCCCAGAGCAGGCCUCGUGACUGGCCCCGCGCGCGCCUGGCGUCCCAGCAGCACAAUCACGCCGUGUGCAGGCAUGCAUGCGUCUGCGUCUGACGGAUAUCUGCACGCCCUCAGGUGACAGGCACUGCGGAUCCUGCAUGACGGCCAUGAGACUCGGGCGCGAGACCAGAGGGACGCCCGAAACCCAAACAUUGAGGGAACUGAGUUGCAAAAAAUCAAAAUGAACGCAGAAAAUCCAUGAUGAAUGAAAUGCUGACAUUUAAAAUCAAAACAGGACUGGUAACCAGGCCGUGAGAACCAGGCUGGAGCCUGAACCAUGAGGAAAACCUGGGUGCCCGACCCUGUCCGCGCUUCAUUCACGAUUUGAAAUUUGGUUCAUCGUGGGCUUUCGCGUUGACUUUGAAUUAUUAAUGGAAAUAACAAAUAGUGUUCUGUUACAAUGUUCUACUUUCACAUAAAAUCAAAUUCAAACAAA
Ailuropoda melanoleuca (giant panda) is the source of this 1431-nucleotide long non-coding RNA. RefSeq lists it as uncharacterized. NCBI's taxonomy places the organism in Eukaryota, Metazoa, Chordata, Mammalia, Carnivora, Ursidae. The record is from RefSeq and is a predicted model, not a curated record. The transcript has 2 exons.